RNAcentral lists this ribosomal RNA (1209 nucleotides) under Pauljensenia sp. UMB8040A. RNAcentral describes it as "partial 23S ribosomal RNA". It matches the Rfam family "Bacterial large subunit ribosomal RNA", at positions 698 to 1767 of the family's 2925-position model. RNAcentral also lists the same sequence under 1 other name. Lineage: Bacteria; Bacillati; Actinomycetota; Actinomycetes; Actinomycetales; Actinomycetaceae. The record is from RNAcentral.
UGUCGCGUGUUCUGGACCCGAAGCGGGGUGAUCUACCCAUGGCCAGGUUGAAGCAGAGGUAAGACUGUGUGGAGGACCGAACCCACCAGGGUUGAAAACCUGGGGGAUGAGCUGUGGGUAGGGGUGAAAGGCCAAUCAAACUCCGUGAUAGCUGGUUCUCCCCGAAAUGCAUUUAGGUGCAGCGUUGUGUGUUGCCUGGUGGAGGUAGAGCUACUGGAUGGCCGAUGGGCCCUAUGGGUUACUGACGUCAGCCAAACUCCGAAUGCCAUUAGGUUGAGCAUGGCAGUGAGACUGCGGGGGAUAAGCUUCGUAGUCGAGAGGGAAACAGCCCAGAUCAUCAGCUAAGGCCCCUAAGUGUGCGCUAAGUGGGAAAGGAUGUGAGAUCGCGGUGACAACCAGGAGGUUGGCUUAGAAGCAGCCAUCCUUGAAAGAGUGCGUAAUAGCUCACUGGUCAAGUGGUUUCGCGCCGACAAUGUAGCGGGGCUUAAGCGUACCGCCGAAGCUGUGGCACUCACACAUGAAAGAGCCUGGGCAGGGGACCUGCCUAAGGUUGUGUGGGUGGGUAGGGGAGCGUCCUGCGUGCGGUGAAGCCUGCUGGGAACGGUUGGUGGAGCGUGUGGGAGUGAGAAUGCAGGCAUGAGUAACGAAUGGCGGGUGAGAAUCCCGUCCGCCGAUUGACUAAGGGUUCCAGGGCUAGGUUUAUCCGCCCUGGGUUAGUCGGGUCCUAAGGCGAGGCCGACAGGCGUAGUCGAUGGACAACCAGUUGAUAUUCUGGUACCGCGUUGUGACCGCCAAAUACUGAAGCUUUUAUGCUAACCACCCGCAUCUGGACUGUUCAUUCCUUCGGGUUUGAUCAGCUUGGGUGUUGUGGGAUCCUGAUUGUUGUAGGUAAGCGUGUUAACAGGGGUGACACAGGAAGGUAGCUGCCGCGCACCGAUGGUUGUGUGUGUCUAAGGUUGUGGCCCGUCUGCCAGGUAAAUCCGGUAGGCAUGUAGGGUGAGGACUGAUGGGGGUGCCCUUUUGGGGUGUCUGGUGGUGAUCCUAAGCUGUCAAGAAAAGCCUCGACGUGAGGGCAUGACGCGCCCGUACCCUAAACCGACUCAGGUGGUCAGGUAGAGUAUACCGAGGCGUUCGAGUGAAUCAUGGUUAAGGAACUCGGCAAAAUUCCUCCGUAACUUCGGGAUAAGGAGGACCCUGUGACGUCCCCCC